Molecule: non-coding RNA, 2112 nt
Organism: Danio rerio (zebrafish)
Lineage: Eukaryota; Metazoa; Chordata; Actinopteri; Cypriniformes; Danionidae
Source: RefSeq, a predicted model, not a curated record
UCCACGCAAGUCUUCGUACAUGAGGCCCCAGGUAUGGUGGAUUUAUUUAAAUCACUUUGAAAUUUGAUAAAUGUAUGUGUGUUAAAGUAUAAUUUUUUUUUUUUUUUCCGAAUAGGACACUCAAAAUUUGGCAGCUACACAUUGAUGGACAAUGAAACAAACAAAAUUUUUGAUCUUCAACUAUUUCAGAGCAACGAAGUCACAUGGAAAAAGAGGAUUAAAACCAGAGGAUAAAGAACCAUGUUUACUGGAGUGCGACUUCCUCCGUGUCUGGCCUGGAAAAGGUUGCCAAAUUAACAUCCUUACUGAACCCCAUACAAAAUGUACACGUUCACAAUAAUCUGCUGUACCCAAAGUGUGAACACCCUGAUGUACUUUCAAGAGAUCGCAAAAAAUGGUUCCAACCAGGUUCACAGGCCCUCUAUAAAGUGGAAAAGAUUUUAAACAACAAGAGAGUUGUGAAGGAUGUUGCAAAACUCAGCCACCAUUAUCAAACAUCUUCACUUAAGGCAUUUCAUAGUGUGAUUCUGCAUUUCACACCAAAGAAUGUUGUUUUUCCUUUUAUUGGAAUGCUGUGCAGGUUAUACCUCGCAGCUAUGCACCAUAACGAAAAUUAUCAAAGUGAACAGGCAAUAACAACCACUGGACAGGCUGUGUACAAAUUUGUAUUUCCAAAAACGAAAAGGGGGAAUGCACGGCAAAACCAGUGAAAACAGAGCCAACAUAUGGCUACGUGAAGGACCUCAUGGUCCUUGUGCUACAUGAAGUCUGUUUGGAUCCAGCACCAUAUGUGGAAGAGCUGCAGUCCAUUCCAGUUCCACCACCUCUUUCCUCUCAAUUUGAGAAACCCUCAAAAGAGCAUGUUAUUUCACAUCAUGUUUCUAGAUUUAAUCAAGAGGAGGCCGGAACCCAACAUACUGUCCUGCUGCAUUCGGAAACUCCUGGCGUAUCUGACACACCACACAUGACGGGAUGACAACCCUCACAUCACGUCCUAGCCAGCCCCAGUACCAGCUAACAAAGCUGCGAUAUGACAGAAAACGGAAACGCCUAUGGCAAUAAAAGGAAACGGAUGUCAGCAUUGCAUAUCAAACUUUGCAAUUGUACAUAUGUGUAUAUAUUUAUUGUCUAUUUAAGUUUUUUGAGACUGGUUUUCAGUGAUUUGUACUUGGUAACUUAAAAUACAUUUAAUAACAUUUAUUUAAAUACAUUUUACAAAAACUUACUCUUCAACAUUUCUGUGUCUCAACGGUCCAUAGUCUGCCCUGUAUAUAUUAUUUAUAUUCUGUAAUGUGUACAUGUUUAAACAAUUGGGUUCAAAACCAGGAUGGUUGCAAGUAGAAGGGUCUGAACCUGCAUCAUGUGCUAGACAAUCUAAACCGUAAUGUAUGACAAUGAAUUUCUGUGUGGUCAACUUGCAUGUAUCCUUUAUGAAAAGUGCACUAUUAGUCAAGCUAAGAAAAAUUAAUGGAAAGCCAUUAAUGCAUUUACAUUACCUUCUGUGUUUCUUUGCAACAGAUAUUUUCUACUUCUGUUGGCAUUUUUUUCACAGUUAUUACACGUGCGCCUAAAGAAAAUUAAAUGUAUUCCCAUAACAAAAAAUUAGCUUGAUUUGUAUAUGUUACCACAUAAUUAUUGGUUGCUCUUAUAACAUUGAACAUUCAUCAAUAAAAUAAACUGACACUAGAUGUAAAAUAAGAAAAAAAGAUGUUAUCAAGCCAAGAGCACUUCAGAAAUCCAUUCAAGACCGCAGCAAUUCAGUGUUUAGCACACAUAUUACUGUUACGGUAAUUUCGUGACCGUUUUACUCAAAUAAAAAUAUCAUUUAUUCAUUUUUCUGUAACGCAUGUUUCAUUAUGUAUGUACAAAACUGCGCUGUUUUCAGUAUAGGUUCGUCCGUGCUUUCAUUUUUGUAAGUAUUAUAUUCAAUCAUUUAUUCAGCAUAGCCAUACCCUUUAUAAAUACCUGAAGUGCAUUUUAAUUUGUCCUAGCCUUAUUACGAUACAAUACCAUUACGAUUGCAUUUUUAUGGCGUGGUUAAACCUCAAGUGAACGAGAAAACAAAAUAGAUCGUUUUACCUGCUAUCUAUUAGAAACGGAGACAUUACAGCC